AUUGAACGCUGGCGGCAGGCCUAACACAUGCAAGUCGAACGAGUGGCGGACGGGUGAUUAAUGUCUGGGCAACUGCCUGAUGGAGGGGGCUAACGAGUGGAAACGGUAGCUAAUACCGCAUACGAUCGGAUGUGGUCAGAUGGGAUUAGCGAGUAGGUGGGGUAAAGGCUCACCUAGGCGACGAUGCCUAGCAGGUCUGAGAGGAUGACCAGCCACACUGGAACUGAGACACGGUCCAGACUCCUACGGGAGGCAGCAGUGGGGAAUAUUGCACAAUGGGCGCAAGCCUGAUGCAGCCAUGCCGCGUGUAUGAAGAAGGCCUUCGGGUUGUAAAGUACUUUCAGCGGGGAGGCGUUACCCGCAGAAGAAGCACCGGCUAACUCCGUGCCAGCAGCCGCGGUAAUAC
This 406-nucleotide ribosomal RNA is filed under the name uncultured bacterium. RNAcentral's name for it is "partial 16S ribosomal RNA". It matches the Rfam family "Bacterial small subunit ribosomal RNA", at positions 30 to 526 of the family's 1533-position model. The record is from RNAcentral.